Molecule: transfer RNA, 74 nt
Filed under: Mycobacterium sp. 1423905.2
Lineage: Bacteria; Bacillati; Actinomycetota; Actinomycetes; Mycobacteriales; Mycobacteriaceae
Rfam family: tRNA
About the family: Transfer RNA (tRNA) molecules are approximately 80 nucleotides in length. Their secondary structure includes four short double-helical elements and three loops (D, anti-codon, and T loops). Further hydrogen bonds mediate the characteristic L-shaped molecular structure. tRNAs have two regions of fundamental functional importance: the anti-codon, which is responsible for specific mRNA codon recognition, and the 3' end, to which the tRNAs corresponding amino acid is attached (by aminoacyl-tRNA synthetases). tRNAs cope with the degeneracy of the genetic code in two manners: having more than one tRNA (with a specific anti-codon) for a particular amino acid; and 'wobble' base-pairing, i.e. permitting non-standard base-pairing at the 3rd anti-codon position.
Source: Rfam by way of RNAcentral
GCUGGGGUAGGCAAACAGGCAAAGCCGCCAAGCUCAAACCUUGGUGUUUGUGAGUUCGAAUCUCACCCUCAGCA